UUGCCUACGGGGGGCAGCAGUAGGGAAUUUUCGUCAAUGGGCGCAAGCCUGAACGAGCAAUGCCGCGUGAACGAGGAAGGUCUUCGGAUUGUAAAGUUCUGUUGAAGGGGAAAAAGAGCGGAGAGAGGAAAUGGUCUCCGAUUGAUAUUACCCUUCGAGGAAGCCACGGCUAACUACGUGCCAGCAGCCGCGGUAAUACGUAGGUGGCGAGCGUUAUCCGGAAUGAUUGGGCGUAAAGGGUGCGUAGGCGGCCUGCUAAGUCAGCGGUCAAAGCCCGGGGCUCAACCCCGGCCCGCCGUUGAAAC
RNAcentral lists this ribosomal RNA (305 nucleotides) under uncultured bacterium. Its description in RNAcentral is "bacterial SSU rRNA". It matches the Rfam family "Bacterial small subunit ribosomal RNA", at positions 335 to 633 of the family's 1533-position model. The record is from RNAcentral.